This 329-nucleotide long non-coding RNA is filed under the name Equus caballus (horse). Its description in RNAcentral is "lncRNA (ENSECAG00000053698.1)". The record is from RNAcentral. Lineage: Eukaryota; Metazoa; Chordata; Mammalia; Perissodactyla; Equidae.
UUUGAAAUGUAAUCAAGAAAGAUAGGACCCCCGUUCUCUGUGGGAGGUAUUGAGUGAUGAUCAGUUGCAUGACUAACUAGAGACGAAGCUGCUCAAACAUUGUUUAACCCACGAGAAGUCUUUUAUAUGACACAGCAGCUCAGCUGCUUAUUUGUACAAGAUACCAAAGUUGUUACCACUGGAGCAUGCCAUCAAAGAGACAGAUUGUCCAACUGCAGUCAAGAAACCACUCGUGGUUUUGGCAUGAUCACAAAAUUAGCAGUUUUAGUGCAUUAGUUGCUAUAUUAGACAAAGCUCUGGAUUUCAUUCGCUAUUCAGGAAAUCUUCAU